GGGGCAUUGUGUGCCACAUGCCUGGGGUCCCACCUGGGCCAGUGGGCUUCAGUCUGUAGGUGACUACGGAAGGAGGAGGAGCUCCGUCUGUUCUCUCUUCAGGCAGUUGUUGUGUCUCUCAGCGCUUGUUGGGUUCACAACCUAUUAAAUAAGCCGGCUGGUCUUCACCCUCCCAGACAAGUCAACUCAGGGGAGGCAGCAGGGUGCGGGCCUUGGCCCGCAGCCCUAGCCGGGGCCGGGGCCAGGGCUGGUGCCCCGGGCCGCGCUGUGAGGUGGGCAGGCGAGGAGCGGGAAGACCAUCUCUGCAAGUGCAGCAUAGGCUUGGCCUAGGACAGCGGGAGUGCGUGGCCAAAGCUGUGAGCAGAGGCACAGGUGGUGGCAGACAGUAGAGGUGCCCCAUGGGGAACAUACUGACCUGUCGUGUGCACCCUAGCGUCAGCCUCGAGUUUGACCAGCAGCAGGGGUCGGUGUGUCCCUCUGAAUCUGAGAUCUAUGAGGCAGGAGCUGGGGACAGGAUGGCAGGAGCGCCCAUGGCUGCUGCUGUACAGCCUGCUGAGGUGACUGUUGAAGUUGGUGAGGACCUCCACAUGCACCACAUUCGUGACCGGGAGAUGCCUGAAGCUUUGGAGUUUAACCUUUCUGCCAAUCCAGAGGCAAGCACAACAUUCCAGAGGAACUCUCAAACAGAUGCUUUGGAGUUUAACCCUUCUGCCAAUCCAGAGGCAAGCACAAUAUUCCAGAGGAACUCUCAAACAGAUGUUGUAGAAAUAAGAAGAAGCAACUGUACAAACCAUGUAAGUAAACACUCAAAUAGUUAAGAAAUUGAUAGUUUGACA
Gorilla gorilla gorilla (western lowland gorilla) is the source of this 836-nucleotide long non-coding RNA. The record is from Ensembl. Lineage: Eukaryota; Metazoa; Chordata; Mammalia; Primates; Hominidae.